Molecule: long non-coding RNA, 4255 nt
Organism: Orcinus orca (killer whale)
Lineage: Eukaryota; Metazoa; Chordata; Mammalia; Artiodactyla; Delphinidae
Exons: 2
Source: RefSeq, a predicted model, not a curated record
UCAGAGGGGUGGAAUGGAAUUAUUUUUUUUUCCUUUGUAGUUGUAUAAUGUAAAUACCAAGUCAAUAUAGAAUUCAUAAAUACUUGCUUUAUAAUCUAGUAUUGUUUUCAUGACUUCUGUGGAUUCUGCUGUUGAAUAUUUUCUUGGCUUCCAAAAAUUUCUCUGUCGCUUUGCCCGAUUCCGAGCUUUUAUUUUCUCCAUUGUGCUGUACUGUGCAUUUGCAUUCACAGCUGUACUUUCUUUUAGUGUAUGAGUGCUUCAUAGUCUCAGGAAAUGUAGGGCUUAUGGUCAGUAAGCUGAAUGGUCACUGGUUGGUCUCAUUUUCCAUCUUAAGAACCUCCCUGUCUUUAUGAGUUUUGCUGAUGUGGUGUUUUGAACACUAAGCCAGCUGUAUUUCCCACAUUGACCUCUUGUGUCUUCAUACUAUUUUUACCUGAUGGGCUCCAGGGUCUGUUCUCAUUCUGUUCUAAUAUUAAUGUGCUCUUUGUAUUAUAACAGAACUGGAGAUUUGCUACCCUAGUGCACUGAAAAGGAAUCUUUAUCUUGUCACAUGGUUUAAAGCAGGAAAGAUUCACUUUAAGGAAAAAGUGACAUUAAGUGUAUAUCUCUUUGUAAAUAACAGCUCUUUUCUCUGUGUUCUCUUCCAUGACCAUUUUUAUAGGCUUCAUUAUAACAGUCUAUCAAGAUUUAAAGCCAGCAAAGAUAAGCUAAAGUUGGAAACCUAUUUCUAAUAUAUUUACUAUCUUUUCUGAUUAUUAAAGUUAUCUGUGUAUGAAAUUUAUUAAAUAAGGUUAAUUAUUAGAAAAGAAAAAAGCACUCUAAUAUUCCACUUCCUAGAGAUAACUAUAAUUGAUAUUUCAUGUAUGUCUUUUCAGACCUUUUACAUGAAUGUGUGCAUAUAUACAUGUGAGAAUGAAAUUUUGAAACCGAUCAGGACUCUUGUGGUUCCCUCCCAGGAACUAAGGCCCCCACUCAGGUGGAGGAUGGCAACUUCAGGCAGAGCACAAGUACAUGGACCCCAGACUGGUUGGAACUAGAAGGCUGAUGAUUGAGAUUCCUGGAACACUCUGUUACUUCCCCACCAGAGGAGGGUUAUACAACCUGCAACCCUUCCCCCAAAUUUUGCCUAUAAAAACUCUUUCCCCAAAACCAUUGGGGGUUCAGGCUUUUUAGAACAUGAGCUGCCCAUUCUCCUUGCUUGGUCCUUGCAAUAAACCUUUCUCUGCUCCAAAUUCCAACUUUUCAGUUUGUUUGGCCUUACUGUGCAUCAGGCACACGAACUUGUGUUUGUCAACAAUUUAUUUUACAUACUUGAGAUUAUAGCAAAUACUUUUUUAAAGUGCUUGUCUAAUUCUGUUUGGUAGAUGUGAGAUAAAGAUUGAUGAAUUUGUAACCUCAUAUAGUCUUCCUUUAGCCUUUUUUCAUGUGGAAUUUUGUUCAUGGUGGAACAGUUUUGGACUAAAGAUUCUCAGUUUUUCCGUGAAAAUUUAAAACAUCAAUAGUGGGUGAUAUCUAUUUCAAUCGAUUUAUCUUCAUUUAUUUUUCAAAGCAAAUUAGAAAAGUAUCAAUAUUAACCAAUAUUUUAUGUAGAAUUCCCAAUCUGCUUAUUUCCAGAAAGAAGCAGAAGUAAUGAAUUAGUAUUUACUGAGCAUCUACUGUGGGUCAGAUGUGCUCUAGGCACCUUGUAUGCAAAUUCUGUUUAAUUCUCAUGGCAUUUAAGUCAUUGUGUACGUAUUUCUAUCUCUUAUAAGGCAUCUGACUCUGCAAAGUGGUUGCUUUGCUACAAAGUAGCUGAGCUUGAUUCAAACCUCAAGUUGUCUUCACUCUGGAGCCCAAGUUACUUCUCACACCAUACUGCCUCUAUACAUUGUCUCCACAGUUUAUGAGUAAGGAAACCAUGAUGCUAUAGACCUCAGUACAAUCUGAAGAAUUACACCAGGCCAUCAGCUACUUUCAGUAUGAUCCUGCCAGUUCUCAUGAACCCACAAGCAUUGAAGGAUGCCACCUGUUCAAAUAAUUAUAGAAUCUCUCUUGUUAGAUUUGAACUAGUUCAUAAAACAUUCCUCAAAAGCUUUUUAUCAUUUGCUUCUUCCUCCAUACCCCUUUCCUUUCUGCUCCAGUCUAUCCUUAAAAAGUAGAUACCUAAGAGAAAGUUUUAUCAUCUCAGCCACCAUUGACAUCCAGAGCCAACAACAGGAUAUUUCUAAAACCCUCCAGAAUCAUGUGUGCAUUUAUAAAAAUAAACAAAAAGAAACAUUGUCCCUAACGUAUUUGUUAAUGAAGUUUCACAAUGCCUACUCUGAAAAACUGCAGGAUUAAAAAUAAGCAAAUGUUCCAAGUUAAAUAAAAAAUGUAAAAAUUAAAAAUAUGUUUUAAUCAGUUGAAAAUACUUUUUAAUAGGAAAUUAAAACAUGCCUUUGUUUCCCAAUCCUUGUUGGUGAAAUUUGGAAAACUAAAGAACUAACUGCUAAGCAUCUAGUAAAUGUGUUUUUACAAAUGAGUUUGUAAUCAUUGAUAUUUAGAAUGGGAAGGAAUAUAAGUAUGAAUUACUCCAAUUACUGCUUUUACUAGGACAAUUAAGUUAUUUGUCAAAGGUCACAUAUAUUGUGUGGUGUUCGUAAUGUGGUUAAAUGUGAUGAUAUGAUAUUCAUACUUCAUACAAAUAAAAAAUCAUUUAGUUGAAAAGAACACAAAAUAUUGUUACUCUCAUUUUUAUGUUGCAUAAAGCUUUUAUUGAAAUAAAAUAUAGAGGAAAAUGUACUGUUAACCAAAAUUUUAGAAAUGGAGAUCUGAUUGAAAUAAGAAGGUGUUUUUUGGGGUUUUUUUAGGACUGCAAUCCAGGAGACACAGAUUCAAGAAGCACUUGAAUUGCAUUUCACCAGACUACAAAAUGUGGGAGGCUUAUAAAGGCAAAGUACCACAAGGUUACAGUUAGUUAUAUGAGUUGUUUAUCAAGAAUUAUAAUUAGAGCUGGCAAGAAGUAAGAGUGCUUGUUAACUAAGGAUUGGUUGGGGUCCGAAAUGGUUGCAUAGUUACAAGGCAGGACCUUGCGACCAUAUUGUUGCAGCUGGCAGAACUUGUUCUGAAUACAGCUAAUGGUGUACUUGGGUCUGGUAUAGUUCAAAUAAAGUUCAGGCUCUCAGUAGAGCAGAGACAUUUGUUUCUAUGACCAGAACCUCAAUGGCCACCCAACUCCAUUUUGUAUGCCUGAAGUGUGAUUACUCUAUCAUAAUUUUAAUUUGUCAUCAGUAUAAAUCACAACUGUAUUACUCAAUUAAUUUUCAUAAAGCAUGCCCACAAAGUCAGUAACCCCAAAGAUUCAUUUGUUACCCAGUCAGUGACCACUAUUCUGACUCUAACAGCAAAACUUAGUUUUAUAUUCGGAGAAUACAGAGAGGAAUAUAAUUAUGUUCUAGUUAACUAUUAUCCCAGAUUUGUCAAAUAGCGAUAUUUUUCCUUACUGAAAUACUUUAAAAUAUUUUAAAGUUUAUCUUUUCAAUUUUUAUAUAGUAACUCACUUUUUGCUAUCUAGUUCUAUGAGUUUCGAUAUAUUCACAGAACCUUAUCCAUAGUGAAGAUACAGAACAUUUCCAUCACCCCCAAAAUUCCCUCAGUUUGCUCUUCCUUUGUACACAACACUUUCUCUCAACCUUAACCCCUAAAAACAACUGAUCUAUCCUGCUUCCUUAGAAUUUGCCUUUUCUAGAAUGUUAAAUUAAUAAAAUUGCACAGUAUGUACCCUUUUGAACCAGGCUUUUUCUAUUUGCAUAAUACAUCCAUGUGGAAGCAUGUAUUAGUAGUUGAUUUUUAUUGAUGAAUAGCAUUUCACUGUAUAGAUGUAAAGAAGCUUGUUUACCCAUUCACCAACUGUAGGACAUUUAAGUUUUUUCUAGAUUUUGGAGAUUAUGAGUAAAGUUCCUAUUACUAUUCAUAUAAAAUAUGGGCAAAUAUAAGUUUUCAUUACUCUUGAGCACGGAUCACUGGGUUAUAUGAUAAACGUAUACUUAAUGUUAUUUUAAAAACUGCUGAAAUGUUUUCUAAAGAGACUGUACCAUUUUGCGUUCCCACAGCAAAGGAUAAGAGUUCAGUUGCUCUGCAUCCUUGCCAACACAUUAUUAUUUGUUUUCAACUUUAGAUAUUUUAAUAGAUGUUUAAUGGUAUUUUUUUGUUUUCAAUUUGCUUUUAAUUAAUAGCCAAUGAUGUUGAGCAUCUUGUCAUGUGCUUAAUAUGCUGAUAAAGUAUUCUUUUACUCCAA